Molecule: long non-coding RNA, 267 nt
Organism: Lepidothrix coronata (blue-crowned manakin)
Lineage: Eukaryota; Metazoa; Chordata; Aves; Passeriformes; Pipridae
Exons: 3
Source: RefSeq, a predicted model, not a curated record
UACUGAUCUGCUGGAGCUAUGUGUUCUAAUUUACGUUCUAGUGUAAAGGCUCUCCAGCUCAUCAUCACAGUACAACUGAUUGGUUACAGUCUCAUUACUGGACACAAGAAGGAAGUGCAGAUGGUGAAUGAAAUGGCCAACAAAUGAUGUAAAGGGCAACAUGAAAGCUGAUGUAAAAUGCAACCUAGAAGUUUAAAGGCAAUAAAACACAAAAUAGGAAUACAAACAAGUUUACUGAUGACACAAAGCUGAGAGGAGUGGCUGAUA